UGGGGAAUUUUGGACAAUGGGCGCAAGCCUGAUCCAGCAAUGCCGCGUGCAGGAUGAAGGCCUUCGGGUUGUAAACUGCUUUUGUACGGAGCGAAAAGGUCUGCCCUAAUACGGUGGGCUCAUGACGGUACCGUAAGAAUAAGCACCGGCUAACUACGUGCCAGCAGCCGCGGUAAUACGUAGGGUGCGAGCGUUAAUCGGAAUUACUGGGCGUAAAGCGUGCGCAGGCGGUUAUAUAAGACAGGUGUGAAAUCCCCGGGCUCAACCUGGGACCUGCAUAUGUGACUGUAUAGCUAGAGUACGGUAGAGGGGGAUGGAAUUCCGCGUGUAGCAGUGAAAUGCGUAGAUAUGCGGAGGAACACCGAUGGCGAAGGCAAUCCCCUGGACCUGUACUGACGCUCAUGCACGAAAGCGUGGGGAGCAAACA
RNAcentral lists this ribosomal RNA (427 nucleotides) under uncultured bacterium. RNAcentral's name for it is "bacterial SSU rRNA". It matches the Rfam family "Bacterial small subunit ribosomal RNA", at positions 355 to 774 of the family's 1533-position model. The record is from RNAcentral.